RNAcentral lists this ribosomal RNA (450 nucleotides) under uncultured bacterium. RNAcentral describes it as "partial 16S ribosomal RNA". It matches the Rfam family "Bacterial small subunit ribosomal RNA", at positions 354 to 796 of the family's 1533-position model. The record is from RNAcentral.
GUGGGGAAUAUUGGACAAUGGGCGAAAGCCUGAUCCAGCCAUGCCGAGUGUGUGAAGAAGGUCUUCGGAUUGUAAAGCACUUUAAGUUGGGAGGAAGGGCAGUAAGUUAAUACCUUGCUGUUUUGACGUUACCGACAGAAUAAGCACCGGCUAACUUCGUGCCAGCAGCCGCGGUAAUACGAAGGGUGCAAGCGUUAAUCGGACUUACUGGGCGUAACGCGCGCGUAGGUGGUUUUGUAAGUUGGAGGUGAAAUCCCCGGGCUCAACCUGGGAACUGCCUCAAAAACUGCAUGACUAGAGUACGGUAGAGGGUAGGGGAAUUUCCUGUGUAGCGGUGAAAUGCGUAGAUAUAGGAAGGAACACCAGUGGCGAAGGCGACUACCUGGACUGAUACUGACACUGAGGUGCGAAAGCGUGGGGAACAAACAGGAUUAGAAACCCCGGUAGUCC